This 456-nucleotide ribosomal RNA is filed under the name uncultured bacterium. Its description in RNAcentral is "bacterial SSU rRNA". It matches the Rfam family "Bacterial small subunit ribosomal RNA", at positions 329 to 802 of the family's 1533-position model. The record is from RNAcentral.
GUACUUACUCCUACGGGAGGCAGCAGUGGGGAAUAUUGGACAAUGGGCGCAAGCCUGAUCCAGCCAUGCCGCGUGAGUGAUGAAGGCCUUAGGGUUGUAAAGCUCUUUUAUCCGGGACGAUAAUGACGGUACCGGAGGAAUAAGCCCCGGCUAACUUCGUGCCAGCAGCCGCGGUAAUACGAAGGGGGCUAGCGUUGCUCGGAAUCACUGGGCGUAAAGGGCGCGUAGGCGGCGUUUUAAGUCGGGGGUGAAAGCCUGUGGCUCAACCACAGAAUGGCCUUCGAUACUGGGACGCUUGAGUAUGGUAGAGGUUGGUGGAACUGCGAGUGUAGAGGUGAAAUUCGUAGAUAUUCGCAAGAACACCGGUGGCGAAGGCGGCCAACUGGACCAUUACUGACGCUGAGGCGCGAAAGCGUGGGGAGCAAACAGGAUUAGAUACCCUAGUAGUCCAGGCAU